Molecule: ribosomal RNA, 234 nt
Filed under: uncultured bacterium
Lineage: Bacteria
Description: partial 16S ribosomal RNA
Rfam family: Bacterial small subunit ribosomal RNA
Source: RNAcentral
UGAGUAACCUGCCCUUCACUCUGGGAUAACUCCGGGAAACCGGGGCUAAUACUGGAUAUGACUCGAACAGGCAUCUGUUUCGGGUGGAAAGAUUUUAUUGGUGGAGGAUGGACUCGCGGCCUAUCAGCUUGUUGGUGAGGUAAUGGCUCACCAAGGCGACGACGGGUAGCCGGCCUGAGAGGGCGAUCGGCCACACUGGGACUGAGACACGGUCCAGACCUCCGUACGGGAGCA